This is a non-coding RNA of Albula glossodonta (roundjaw bonefish), 74 nucleotides long. Lineage: Eukaryota; Metazoa; Chordata; Actinopteri; Albuliformes; Albulidae. The record is from the annotation of a GenBank genome assembly.
AGUGGGGUGGCUUAGUUGGUUAAAGUGCCUGUGUAGUAGACUGGUAAUCCUGGGUUCAAAUACCAGUGGUGCCG